This 800-nucleotide ribosomal RNA is filed under the name Tuber sp. 37 RH-2015. RNAcentral describes it as "eukaryotic LSU rRNA". The stretch from base 469 to 800 matches the Rfam family "Eukaryotic large subunit ribosomal RNA", at positions 1 to 325 of the family's 3401-position model. Lineage: Eukaryota; Fungi; Ascomycota; Pezizomycetes; Pezizales; Tuberaceae. The record is from RNAcentral.
CUGCGGAAGGAUCAUUAUUAUAAUGCGUGGAAAAGCCCCCUUACAGGGGCUCUCUAGAAAACUCUAAACUUACUGUCUGAGAAGGCUACGUGCCAUAAUCUUUAAAUAUUUUAAAACCUUCAACAACGGAUCUCUUGGUUCUCGCAUCGAUGAAGAACGCAGCGAAAUGCGAUAAGUAAUGUGAAUUGCAGAAUUCAGUGAAUCAUCGAAUCUUUGAACGCACAUUGCGCCCUUUGGUAUUCCAUAGGGCAUGCCUGUUCGAGCGUCACUAACAACCCCAUCACAAAGAGUGUGGUAUUGGCAGAAGUGGGUAGGGCUGGCAUUGCUGGUCCCACUCUGCUGGAAUGAAUAGGCCGGAACUGUAGACCAUAGUAACAGACUUUCAGAGUAUUUUAAGAUGCUAAAUCAGUUUGUAUGCUGGUCAGAAUCCAUGCCAUUGGACCCCCAUACUGUGGAAAGCAGUAAUGUUGACCUCGGAUCAGGUAGGGAUACCCGCUGAACUUAAGCAUAUCAAUAAGCGGAGGAAAAGAAACCAACAGGGAUUGCCUUAGUAACGGCGAGUGAAGCGGCAAAAGCUCAAAUUUGAAAUCUGACACCUUUGGUGUUCGAGUUGUAAUUUGGAGAGGCAUCUUCUGGAGGGGGUCGGUCUAUGUUAUGUGCCUUGGAACAGGACAUCAUAGAGGGUGAGAAUCCCGUUCGUGGCCGGCUCUUCCCUUCUGUAAGAAGUGUCUUCUACGAGUCGAGUUGUUUGGGAAUGCAGCUCAAAAUGGGUGGUAAAUUUCAUCUAAAGCUAAAUAUUG